AUACGGAGGAUGCGAGCGUUGUCCGGAAUUACUGGGCGUAAAGGAUGCGUAGGUGGAUAUUUAAGUGGGAUGUGAAAUCCCCGGGCUCAACCCGGGAACUGCAUUCCAAACUGGGUAUCUAGAGUGCAGGAGAGGAAAGCGGAAUUCCUAGUGUAGCGGUGAAAUGCGUAGAUAUUAGGAGGAACACCAGUGGCGAAGGCGGUUGUCUGGACUGUAACGGACACUGAGGCAUGAAAGCGUGGGUAGCAAACAGGAUUAGAUACCCUGGUAGUCCACGCCGUAAACGAUGGGUACUAGGUGUAGGAGGUAUCGACCCCUUCUGUGCCGUCGUUAACACAAUAAGUACCCCGCCUGGGGAGUACGGUCGCAAGACUAAAACUCAAAUGAAUUGACGGGG
This 397-nucleotide ribosomal RNA is filed under the name uncultured bacterium. RNAcentral's name for it is "partial 16S ribosomal RNA". It matches the Rfam family "Bacterial small subunit ribosomal RNA", at positions 523 to 918 of the family's 1533-position model. The record is from RNAcentral.